This 74-nucleotide transfer RNA is filed under the name Pseudomonas aeruginosa. Its description in RNAcentral is "tRNA-Arg". RNAcentral also lists the same sequence under 1 other name. The record is from RNAcentral. Lineage: Bacteria; Pseudomonadati; Pseudomonadota; Gammaproteobacteria; Pseudomonadales; Pseudomonadaceae.
GUCCUGGCCGCGUUGUGGUGGGCGGCGACCCGUUUCGGCUGGGUCGACGUGCUGUUCCUGCCGGCACCCGAACA